This 460-nucleotide ribosomal RNA is filed under the name uncultured bacterium. RNAcentral describes it as "partial 16S ribosomal RNA". It matches the Rfam family "Bacterial small subunit ribosomal RNA", at positions 338 to 795 of the family's 1533-position model. The record is from RNAcentral.
CCUACGGGGGGCAGCAGAGAGGAAUAUUGGUCAAUGGACGAGAGUCUGAACCAGCCAAGUAGCGUGAAGGAUGACUGCCCUAUGGGUUGUAAACUUCUUUUAUAUGGGAAUAAAAUGUUCCACGUGUGGGAUUUUGUAUGUACCAUAUGAAUAAGGAUCGGCUAACUCCGUGCCAGCAGCCGCGGUAAUACGGAGGAUCCGAGCGUUAUCCGGAUUUAUUGGGUUUAAAGGGAGCGUAGGUGGAUUGUUAAGUCAGUUGUGAAAGUUUGCGGCUCAACCGUAAAAUUGCAGUUGAAACUGGCAGUCUUGAGUACAGUAGAGGUGGGCGGAAUUCGUGGUGUAGCGGUGAAAUGCUUAGAUAUCACGAAGAACUCCGAUUGCGAAGGCAGUUCACUGGACUGCAACUGACACUGAGGCUCGAAAGUGUGGGUAUCAAACAGGAUUAGAUACCCUUGUAGUC